RNAcentral lists this ribosomal RNA (376 nucleotides) under uncultured organism. RNAcentral's name for it is "partial 16S ribosomal RNA". It matches the Rfam family "Bacterial small subunit ribosomal RNA", at positions 527 to 896 of the family's 1533-position model. The record is from RNAcentral.
GUAGGUGGCAAGCGUUGUCCGGAAUUAUUGGGCGUAAAGCGCGCGCAGGCGGUCCUUUAAGUCUGAUGUGAAAGCCCACGGCUCAACCGUGGAGGGUCAUUGGAAACUGGGGGACUUGAGUACAGAAGAGGAAAGCGGAAUUCCAAGUGUAGCGGUGAAAUGCGUAGAGAUUUGGAGGAACACCAGUGGCGAAGGCGGCUUUCUGGUCUGUAACUGACGCUGAGGCGCGAAAGCGUGGGGAGCAAACAGGGAUUAGAUACCCUGGUAGUCCACGCCGUAAACGAUGAGUGCUAAGUGUUAGGGGGGUUUCCCGCCCCCUUAGUGCUGCAGCUAACGCAUUAAGCACUCCGCCUGGGGAGUACGGCCCGCAAGGCUG